Molecule: transfer RNA, 73 nt
Filed under: Candidatus Riesia sp.
Lineage: Bacteria; Pseudomonadati; Pseudomonadota; Gammaproteobacteria; Enterobacterales; Enterobacteriaceae
Description: tRNA-His
Rfam family: tRNA
About the family: Transfer RNA (tRNA) molecules are approximately 80 nucleotides in length. Their secondary structure includes four short double-helical elements and three loops (D, anti-codon, and T loops).
Source: RNAcentral
GUAGAUAUAACUCAACCGGUAGAGUGUCAGACUGUGACUCUGAAAGUUACAGGUUCAAAUCCUGUUAUCUACC